UGGCGGAGGGAUGGGGGUUGAAGUUUAGGGAGGGUCGCGGUGUCACCCCCCCUCCGUCGAGAACAGGGAGCGCGGGGUUGGCAGGCGACGUUUGGGAGGAGUUAAAUUCUUAGCGGGGGAGAGGGGUUAUGUGGACGCCACGCCCCUAUAGGAAGGAAGAAAGGGUAUAUGUAUGUUUAGGAAUAAACUUAGAGGGGUGGGGGCCACAGGGGUGGGCUCCCAGACUGAGAAACUGGAACACUGAAGGGUUACUGCAAGCAGGACUCGGGCCUCAAACAUCUAUGAGUGUGCUCUCUGGAGUGGCCCCGGGAAGGAGUUUGACGGAGAUUAAGAAUUACAUCCCUGGACAGUUUUGGAAGAAGAGAGGGAGGAGAGGUUUGAAGGAAGGAGCGAGGAAUGCACGUGGAAGGUGCCAGCAUCUUGGUCUGGAAAGGAUUUAAAUAAAUUGAAGAGAGCUGGUGGAUUAAAACACUGAACACCCUAAGAAGCUUGGGAGAUUCGAUUAGUGUGGCGCUUUAGACAAGAGGACGUUCUUUUCUACAUUUCUUAGAAGACAGCACACACUAUGAGUGCUUUUGGUUGCUUUUCUUUACUUAGAUACGACCCUUGUUUUAUCCUGAGCCUGUGUAUGUGUACAUAUUGGUGAGGUGACUGUGUUUUGGAGUGCAAUAUGUGAAUGAGGUUAAUACAGAAAUCAGCCUCCUGGGCCAUGCCGUUUCUAAAGCAUGUUUCUUAUGAGCCCCAGCAGAAGACAGACGCACCAGUUCUCACAGUGGAUGACUUUUCCUGCCUAAACAAGAGAUCGGCUAGUACCUUGGAUCUGUCCAUCACCAGACCCGUAGCUCAAUAAGUCAGCUGAAUGAAGGGAUGUAACAGACCCCUGGGAGGGACACUGAAGCUUGCAGUGUGGGGGGGGAGGGGCCUGGACACACCCCUUCCCCCCCAGACUCCUCCUCCUCCGAGUCCACUCAGCCAUGGACUUUGGACCUGGAUAACAGGAGAAAAGCUGAACUUUGGUGGAUCUGAUUUGGGACUCACAGUUUUGGAAAUGGAGUGCUGGCUGGGGGUUUGAUGAUCUCCAGGGGAGCAGCUGACAGAAGAGAAGAAAGUAGAAAAUGGGGAUAACUGAUUUUCCAAGUCCCUCACAAGUUGUUACAAGGAGCAAAUGAAAUAAUGACGGAUUUUGGACUGUACCUACAGCUGUGAACUCCUUCAUAUGAAGCUAACAUUGACAUUACCUGAUAUGCCUAUUUGUUACACAGAAAAACUAUGAAUUAAGAGUUC
Galeopterus variegatus (Sunda flying lemur) is the source of this 1284-nucleotide long non-coding RNA. RefSeq lists it as uncharacterized. NCBI's taxonomy places the organism in Eukaryota, Metazoa, Chordata, Mammalia, Dermoptera, Cynocephalidae. The record is from RefSeq and is a predicted model, not a curated record. The transcript is spliced from 3 exons.